This 468-nucleotide ribosomal RNA is filed under the name uncultured bacterium. RNAcentral describes it as "partial 16S ribosomal RNA". It matches the Rfam family "Bacterial small subunit ribosomal RNA", at positions 28 to 507 of the family's 1533-position model. The record is from RNAcentral.
GACGAACGCUGGCGGCGUGCUUAACACAUGCAAGUCGAACGGUGAAGCUCCAGCUUGCUGGAGUGGAUCAGUGGCGAACGGGUGAGUAACACGUGAGCAACCUGCCCCUGACUCUGGAAUAAGCGCUGGAAACGGCGUCUAAUACUGGAUACGAGAAGGGUCCGCAUGGGCACUUUCUGGAAAGUUUUUCGGUUGGGGAUGGGCUCGCGGCCUAUCAGCUUGUUGGUGAGGUAAUGGCUCACCAAGGCGACGACGGGUAGCCGGCCUGAGAGGGCGACCGGCCACACUGGGACUGAGACACGGCCCAGACUACUACGGGAGGCAGCAGUGGGGUAUAGUGCACAAUGGGCGAAAGCCUGAUGCAGCGACGCCGCGUGAGGGAUGACGGCCUUCGGGUUGUAAACCUCUUUCCGCAGGGAAGAAGCGAAAGUGACGGUACCUGCAGAAGAAGCACCGGCUAACUACGUG